RNAcentral lists this transfer RNA (96 nucleotides) under Metallosphaera sedula. RNAcentral's name for it is "tRNA-Ser (CGA) (tRNA-Ser-CGA-2-1)". The record is from RNAcentral. Lineage: Archaea; Thermoproteati; Thermoproteota; Thermoprotei; Sulfolobales; Sulfolobaceae. RNAcentral also lists the same sequence under 1 other name.
GGCGUAAAUUGGCAACCAACGAUAUUUUACGACGUUGGAUAUCGUUUUUUAGGCCUCCGGAGCCUAAGGUCCCGGGUCCGAAUCCCGGCGGGUCCG